RNAcentral lists this ribosomal RNA (492 nucleotides) under uncultured bacterium. Its description in RNAcentral is "partial 16S ribosomal RNA". It matches the Rfam family "Bacterial small subunit ribosomal RNA", at positions 29 to 507 of the family's 1533-position model. The record is from RNAcentral.
AGUGAACGCUGGCGGUAGGCCUAACACAUGCAAGUCGAACGGCAGCACAGUAAGAGCUUGCUCUUACGGGUGGCGAGUGGCGGACGGGUGAGGAAUACAUCGGAAUCUACUUUUUCGUGGGGGAUAACGUAGGGAAACUUACGCUAAUACCGCAUAACACCUACGGGUGAAAGCAGGGGAUCUUCGGACCUUGCGCGAUUGAAUGAGCCGAUGUCGGAUUAGCUAGUUGGCGGGGUAAAGGCCCACCAAGGCGACGAUCCGUAGCUGGUCUGAGAGGAUGAUCAGCCACACUGGAACUGAGACACGGUCCAGACUCCUACGGGAGGCAGCAGUGGGGAAUAUUGGACAAUGGGCGAAAGCCUGAUCCAGCCAUACCGCGUGUGUGAAGAAGGCCUUCGGGUUGUAAAGCCCUUUUGUUGGGAAAGAAAAGCAGCAGGUUAAUACCCCGCUGUUAUGACGGUACCGAAAGAAUAAGCACCGGCUAACUUCGUG